Long non-coding RNA from Rhinopithecus roxellana (golden snub-nosed monkey), 588 nucleotides. RefSeq lists it as uncharacterized. The record is from RefSeq and is a predicted model, not a curated record. The transcript is spliced from 3 exons. Lineage: Eukaryota; Metazoa; Chordata; Mammalia; Primates; Cercopithecidae.
UCAGUGGUCAGUGGAAACUUGAUGAUAGCAUGGUGGUCAAGCUUGUUUCUCCGGGGGGGGUGCUCGUCCCAGGAUAUCUGGGCUGCAGUCGCAGUGUCUUGGGACGCUGGAAGAUAUUAUUUCCCACUGAUGCUUUCCUGAAAGCUCCUGCAAUCACCUACAGGUCAGAAUGCUUGUCUCCAACACAGGACUCCCUCUGAGAGUCACCCGUCUGGUCACCGAGAGAAAUGCGUAUCUGAGUGCCUCAUCGGGAGAGGGUAACUGGCAACUCAAAAGAAUGAAACCAUUUGUCUCUUACCUACCUAUGACCUGGAAGCUCCCUAUCUGGCCUUCUCUUCAAGUUGUCUCAUCUUUCUGGACUGAAACAAGAUCUCCCUGCUGAAGCGAACUCAAAUCUUACCAUGUGUUAUGACACGCUGUGAUGAUGAGCAACCAAAGCCUCGAGGAAGAGAUGCUUUUGUAAAACAAGACUUGCAGAAUAUAAUGUGUGAAGUAAAGCCCAUGGCAGAGCUCCCUUUAGCACCCGGGGAGCAGACAGGAAGCUUUUGCCUCACCUUCCUCACUGGCCUGCAGCCACAUCUCCCCAGG